GUAAAAUGCAGGAAUACUUUCUGUUCUAGGUCGCCCACCAGUAAAAUGCGGGAAUACUUUCUGUUCUAGGUCGUCCACCAGUAAAAUGCGGGAAUACUUUCUGUUCUAGGUCUCACACCAGUAAAAUGCGGGAAUACUUUCUGUUCUAGGUCGCCCACCAGUAAAAUGCGGGAAUACUUUCUGUUCUAGGUCACCCACCAGUAUAAUGUGGGAAUACUUUUAGUCUUAUAUUACAGAUUUUGAAAUCAGUAACCCCACCGGAAGGCAGAAGGUUACAACAGGAAUCCCUAGCAAGGAACAACAAAAAUCCCCAACACCGGGAAGCCGAAGGUUGCUAACUCAAGUGCAUGCGUCAAAAGGAAGAAAAGACGCGUUUUAAAAGAAGCGGCUU
Molecule: long non-coding RNA, 391 nt
Filed under: Nicotiana tabacum (common tobacco)
Lineage: Eukaryota; Viridiplantae; Streptophyta; Magnoliopsida; Solanales; Solanaceae
Description: long non-coding RNA (NTAB_LNC012088)
Source: RNAcentral